RNAcentral lists this ribosomal RNA (440 nucleotides) under uncultured bacterium. RNAcentral's name for it is "partial 16S ribosomal RNA". It matches the Rfam family "Bacterial small subunit ribosomal RNA", at positions 339 to 795 of the family's 1533-position model. The record is from RNAcentral.
CUACGGGAGGCUCCAGUGGGGAAUAUUGCACAAUGGAGGAAACUCUGAUGCAGCAACGCCGCGUGGAGGAUGACGCAUUUCGGUGUGUAAACUCCUUUUAUAUGUCAAGAAAAUGACGGUAGCAUAUGAAUAAGCACCGGCUAACUCCGUGCCAGGCAGCCGCGGUAAUACGGAGGGUGCAAGCGUUACUCGGAAUCACUGGGCGUAAAGGACGCGUAGGCGGGUUGGAAAGUCAGGUGUGAAAUCCUACAGCUUAACUGUAGAACUGCACUUGAAACUUCUAAUCUAGAGUAUGGGAGGGGGAGAUGGAAUUAGUGGUGUAGGGGUAAAAUCCGUAGAUAUCACUAGGAAUACCUAAAGCGAAGGCGAUCUCCUGGAACAUUACUGACGCUAAGGCGUGAAAGCGUGGGGAGCAAACAGGAUUAGAUACCCUUGUAGUC